UACCCGCUGAACUUAAGCAUAUCAAUAAGCGGAGGAAAAGAAACUAACAAGGAUUCCCCUAGUAACGGCGAGUGAAGCGGGAAAAGCUCAAAUUUGUAAUCUGGCGCCUUCGGCGUCCGAGUUGUAAUCUCGAGAAGUAUUUUCCGCGCUGGACCGCACAUAAGUCUGUUGGAACACAGCGUCAUAGUGGUGAGAACCCCGUAUAUGGUGCGGAUGCCCAGUGCUUUGUGAUAUACUUUCGAAGAGUCGAGUUGUUUGGGAAUGCAGCUCAAAUUGGGUGGUAAAUUCCAUCUAAAGCUAAAUAUUGGCGAGAGACCGAUAGCGAACAAGUACCGUGAGGGAAAGAUGAAAAGCACUUUGGAAAGAGAGUUAACAGUACGUGAAAUUGUUGGAAGGGAAACGCUUGAAGUCAGACUUGCAUUUUGGAGUUCAGCCGCAAGGUGUAUUCUUCAAUUCGCAGGCCAGCAUCAGUUUUCGGGGGUGGAAAAUCGCGGUUUGAAGGUAGCAGUUUCGGCUGUGUUAUAGCUUUCCGCUGGAUUCACUUUUGGGGACUGAGGAACGCAGUACGCUUUUUGCAAGAUUCUAGAGUCUUUCGUACUUAGGAUGCUGGUGGAAUGGCUUUAAACGACCCGUCUUGAAACACGGACCA
This 649-nucleotide ribosomal RNA is filed under the name Microbotryum reticulatum. Its description in RNAcentral is "LSU rRNA". It matches the Rfam family "Eukaryotic large subunit ribosomal RNA", at positions 22 to 668 of the family's 3401-position model. The record is from RNAcentral. Lineage: Eukaryota; Fungi; Basidiomycota; Microbotryomycetes; Microbotryales; Microbotryaceae.